AGAGUUUGAUCAUGGCUCAGAAUCAACGCUGGCGGCGCGCUUAACACAUGCAAGUCGCACGAGAAAGUGGAGCAAUCCAUGAGUAAAGUGGCGUACGGGUGAGUAACACGUGGAUCAUCUACCUCUUGGCGGGGAAUAACCCUGGGAAACCGGGGCUAAUACCGCAUAAGCCUGAAAAGGGAAAGCAGCAAUGCACCGAGAGAGGAGUCCGCGGCCGAUUAGCUAGUUGGUAGGGUAAUGGCCUACCAAGGCAAUGAUCGGUAGCCGGCCUGAGAGGGCACACGGCCACACUGGCACUGAAACACGGGCCAGACUCCUACGGGAGGCAGCAGUGGGGAAUCUUGCACAAUGGAGGAAACUCUGAUGCAGCGACGCCGCGUGAGCGAUGAAGCCCUUCGGGGUGUAAAGCUCUUUCGACGGGAACGAUAAUGACGGUACCCGGAGAAGAAGCUGCGGCUAACUACGUGCCAGCAGCCGCGGUAAUACGUAGGCAGCAAGCGUUGUUCGGAAUUACUGGGCGUAAAGAGUGUGUAGGCGGUUCUCUAUGUUCGGUGUGAAAUCUCCCGGCUUAACUGGGAGGGUGCGCCGAAAACUGGAGGGCUUGAGUAUGGGAGAGGAAAGCGGAAUUCCUGGUGUAGCGGUGAAAUGCGUAGAUAUCAGGAGGAACACCUGAGGUGUAGACGGCUUUCUGGACCAUCACUGACGCUGAGACACGAAAGCGUGGGUAGCAAACAGGAUUAGAUACCCCAGUAGUCC
RNAcentral lists this ribosomal RNA (756 nucleotides) under uncultured bacterium. RNAcentral's name for it is "bacterial SSU rRNA". It matches the Rfam family "Bacterial small subunit ribosomal RNA", at positions 8 to 796 of the family's 1533-position model. The record is from RNAcentral.